This 485-nucleotide ribosomal RNA is filed under the name uncultured bacterium. RNAcentral's name for it is "partial 16S ribosomal RNA". It matches the Rfam family "Bacterial small subunit ribosomal RNA", at positions 29 to 507 of the family's 1533-position model. The record is from RNAcentral.
AAUGAACGCUGGCGGCGUGCCUAACACAUGCAAGUCGGAUGUGCCGCAAGGUGCAUGGCCGCCGGGUGAGUAACGCGUAGGGAAUCUACCUUUUUGUGGGGAAUAACGCUCCGAAAGGAGUGGUAAUACCGCAUGAGACCGUGAGCGGGGAUGUUCACGGUGAAACCUGGGGACCGCAAGGCCUGGGGCAAAAAGAGGAUCCUGCGUCUGAUUAGCUAGUUGGCGGGGUAAUGGCCCACCAAGGCGACGAUCAGUAGCCGGCCUGAGAGGUUGAUCGGCCACCCGGGAACUGAGACACGGUCCAGACUCCUACGGGAGGCAGCAGUGGGGAAUUUUGCGCAAUGGACGAAAGUCUGACGCAGCAACGCCGCGUGGGUGAUGAAGGUCUUCGGACUGUAAAACCCUGUCGUCAGGGAGGAAGGUGGCAGUGUUAAUAGCGCUGUUACUUGACGGUACCUGGAGAGGAAGCCCCGGCUAACUCUGUG